UUAACGACUCUCGGCAACGGAUAUCUCGGCUCUCGCAUCGAUGAAGAACGCAGCGAAAUGCGAUACUUGGUGUGAAUUGCAGGAUCCCGCGAACCAUCGAGUUUUUGAACGCAAGUUGCGCCCGAAGCCUUUUGGCCGAGGGCACGUCUGCCUGGGUGUCACUC
This 164-nucleotide ribosomal RNA is filed under the name Euphorbia atoto. RNAcentral describes it as "5.8S ribosomal RNA". It matches the Rfam family "5.8S ribosomal RNA". Rfam says of the family: 5.8S ribosomal RNA (5.8S rRNA) is a component of the large subunit of the eukaryotic ribosome. It is transcribed by RNA polymerase I as part of the 45S precursor that also contains 18S and 28S rRNA. Functionally, it is thought that 5.8S rRNA may be involved in ribosome translocation. Lineage: Eukaryota; Viridiplantae; Streptophyta; Magnoliopsida; Malpighiales; Euphorbiaceae. The record is from RNAcentral. RNAcentral also lists the same sequence under 1 other name.